AGCGAACGCUGGCGGCAGGCCUAACACAUGCAAGUCGAGCGCCCCGCAAGGGGAGCGGCAGACGGGAGAGUAACACGUGGGAACGUACCCUUCAGUUCGGAACAACCCAGGGAAACUUGGGCUAAUACCGGAUACGUCCGUAAGGAGAAAGAUUUAUCGCUGAAGGAUCGGCCCGCGUCUGAUUAGCUAGUUGGUGGGGUAAUGGCCCACCAAGGCGACGAUCAGUAGCUGGUCUGAGAGGAUGAUCAGCCUCACUGGGACUGAGACACGGCCCAGACUCCUACGGGAGGCAGCAGUGGGGAAUAUUGGACAAUGGGCGCAAGCCUGAUCCAGCCAUGCCGCGUGGAUGAUGAAGGCCCUAGGGUUGUAAAGUCCUUUUCGGCGGGGAAGAUAAUGACGGUACCCGCAGAAGAAGCCCCGGCUAACUUCGUGCCAGCAGCCGCGGUAAUACGAAGGGGGCUAGCGUUGCUCGGAAUUACUGGGCGUAAAGCGCACGUAGGCGGAUUUCGU
This 510-nucleotide ribosomal RNA is filed under the name uncultured bacterium. Its description in RNAcentral is "bacterial SSU rRNA". It matches the Rfam family "Bacterial small subunit ribosomal RNA", at positions 28 to 585 of the family's 1533-position model. The record is from RNAcentral.